This 373-nucleotide ribosomal RNA is filed under the name uncultured bacterium. RNAcentral's name for it is "bacterial SSU rRNA". It matches the Rfam family "Bacterial small subunit ribosomal RNA", at positions 525 to 896 of the family's 1533-position model. The record is from RNAcentral.
ACGUAGGGGGCGAGCGUUGUCCGAAGUUACUGGGCGUAAAGCGCGCGUAGGCGGGCUGUUAAGUGAGGGGUGAAAUACCGGGGCUCAACCCCGGAACUGCCUCUCAUACUGGCAGUCUUGAGGGCGGUAGGGAAAAGUGGAAUGGCUGGUGUAGCGGUGAAAUGCGUAGAUACCAGUCGGAACACCGGUGGCGAAGGCGGCUUUUUGGGCCGUUCCUGACGCUGAGGCGCGAAAGCCAGGGGAGCAAACGGGAUUAGAUACCCCGGUAGUCCUGGCCGUAAACGAUGGAUACUAGGUGUCGGGGGUAUCGACCCCCCCGGUGCCGCAGCUAACGCAUUAAGUAUCCCGCCUGGGGAGUACGGCCGCAAGGUUG